This 71-nucleotide transfer RNA is filed under the name Ebenavia inunguis. RNAcentral describes it as "tRNA-Asn". Lineage: Eukaryota; Metazoa; Chordata; Lepidosauria; Squamata; Gekkonidae. The record is from RNAcentral.
UAGGCUGAGGCCCGCUGGAUAGGGUGUUUAGUUGUUAACUAGCAUUUUGCGGGAUCAAGGCCCGCCAGUCU